GAUGGAACUCAAAACAACCUGUUUUGCUUUGUUUAGGCUUAUUACACUUCGCUUUGAUAUGUGUGGGUGAAUGAACACCGAAAGUGCAAUCCAAGCUUAUUCGUCCUCCUUCUAUUGAGAUGGAACCAAAACACCUAUGCUUGAAUUGGGCUUAUAACGAACAUUUCACUCUUCGAUUUUUGGGUAAGUGUGCAUUUUAAACCCAAAAACACCAAUUUGAAAUAAGCCCAAUCAGAGCUUUAUUGUCUUCUUUUUAUGUAGAUGGAAGCCAAAAGACCUUUUUGCUUUGGUUGGGGUGAUUCUGGUGCACACCCAAAAAACACCAUGCGAAUUGAAAUAAGCCCAAUCAAAGCUUAUUCUUCUUCUUUCUACGCAUAUGGAAGCGGAAAGAUGGUGUUUUGUUACUUUGGUCUGAUUAAAUACACUUUGCGAUUUCUGGGUAAAUGUGCAUUAACUCCAAAGAAAACGACUUUGAAAUAAGCGAAAUCCAAGAGGCCUCUUUCUAUGUAGAUGGAACUCAAAACAACCUGUUUUGCUUUGUUUAGGCUUAUUACACUUGUUUAGGCUUAUCACUCUGUUAUUUGUGGGUGAAUGAGCACCGAAAGUGCAAUCCAAGCUUAUUCUCCUUCUAUUGAUGUGGAACCAAAACACCUAUGCUUGAGUUGGGCUGAAAAACAUUUCACUCUGCGAUUUUUGGUUGAAUGUGCAUUCUAACCCCAAAAACACCAAUUUGAAAUAAUCCCAAUCAGAGCGUUAUCAUCUUCCUUUUAUGUAGAUGGAAGCCAAAAGACCUUUUUGCUUUGGUUGGGGUGAUUCUGGUGCACACCCAAAAAACACCAUGCGAAUUGAAAUAAGCCCAAUCAAAGCUUAUUCUUCUUCUUUCUAUGCUAUGGAAGCGGAAAUAUAGUGUUUUGUUAUUUUGAUCUGAUUAAAUACACUUUGUGAUUUCUGGGUCAAUGUGCAUUAAAACCAAAGAACACGACUUUGAAAUAAGCGAAAUCCAAGAUGCCUCUUUCUAUGUAGAUGGAACUCAAAACAACCUGUUUUGCUUUGUGUAGGCUUAUUACACUUCGCUUUCUUAUUUGUGGGUGAAUGAACACCGAAAGUGCAAUCCAAGCUUAUACGUCCUCCUUCUAUUGAGAUGGAACCAAAACACCUAUGUUUGAUUUGUGCUGAUAACAAAUUUCCCUCUGCGAUUUUUGGGUCCAUGUGCAUUCUAACCCCAUAAGCACCGAUUUGAAAUAAGCCCAAUCAGAGCGUUAUCAUCUUCCUUUUAUGUAGAUGGAAGCCAAAAGACCUUUUUGCUUUGGUUGGGGUGAUUCUGGUGCACACCCAAAAAACACCAUGCGAAUUGAAAUAAGCCCAAUCAAAGCUUAUUCUUCUUCUUUCUACGCAUAUGGAAGCGGAAAGAUGGUGUUUUGUUAUUUUGGUCUGAUUAAAUACACUUUGCGAUUUCUGGUCAAUGUGCAUUAAAACCAAAGAAGACGACUUUGAAAUAAGCGAAAUCCAAGAUGCCUCUUUCUAUGUAGAUGGAACUCAAAACAACCUGUUUUGCUUUGUUUAGGCUUAUUACACUUCGCUCUGUUAUUUGUGGGUGAAUGAACACCGAAAGUGUAAUCCAAGCUUAUUAGUCCUACUUCUAUUGAGGUGGAACCAAAAGACCUAUGCUUG
RNAcentral lists this long non-coding RNA (1671 nucleotides) under Podarcis lilfordi (Lilford's wall lizard). The record is from RNAcentral. Lineage: Eukaryota; Metazoa; Chordata; Lepidosauria; Squamata; Lacertidae.